RNAcentral lists this ribosomal RNA (398 nucleotides) under uncultured bacterium. RNAcentral describes it as "bacterial SSU rRNA". It matches the Rfam family "Bacterial small subunit ribosomal RNA", at positions 30 to 429 of the family's 1533-position model. The record is from RNAcentral.
AUUGAACGCUGGCGGCAUGCUUUACACAUGCAAGUCGAACGGCAGCACGGGAGCUUGCUCCUGGUGGCGAGUGGCGAACGGGUGAGUAAUGCAUCGGAACGUACCUUUCAGUGGGGGAUAACGUAGCGAAAGUUACGCUAAUACCGCAUAUUCUGUGAGCAGGAAAGCAGGGGAUCGCAAGACCUUGCGCUGAUUGAGCGGCCGAUAUCAGAUUAGCUAGUUGGUGAGGUAAAGGCUCACCAAGGCGACGAUCUGUAGCGGGUCUGAGAGGAUGAUCCGCCACACUGGAACUGAGACACGGUCCAGACUCCUACGGGAGGCAGCAGUGGGGAAUUUGGACAAUGGGCGCAAGCCUGAUCCAGCCAUGCCGCGUGAGUGAAGAAGGCCUCGGUUGUAAG